RNAcentral lists this ribosomal RNA (32 nucleotides) under Pseudohumicola debertoldii. RNAcentral's name for it is "Humicola lutea partial 28S ribosomal RNA". RNAcentral also lists the same sequence under 2 other names. The record is from RNAcentral. Lineage: Eukaryota; Fungi; Ascomycota; Sordariomycetes; Sordariales; Chaetomiaceae.
UACCCAAGGUUGACCUCGGAUCAGGUAGGAAG